GAUGAACGCUGGCGGCGUGCUUAACACAUGCAAGUCGAACGAUGAAGCCCAGCCUGCUGGGCGGAUUAGUGGCGAACGGGUGAGUAACACGUGAGUAACCUGCCCUUGACUCUGGGAUAAGCCCGGGAAACUGGGUCUAAUACCGGAUAGGAGCGCCUGUCGCAUGACGGGUGCUGGAAAGAUUUUUCGGUCAUGGAUGGACUCGCGGCCUAUCAGCUUGUUGGUGAGGUAACGGCUCACCAAGGCGACGACGGGUAGCCGGCCUGAGAGGGUGACCGGCCACACUGGGACUGAGACACGGCCCAGACUCCUACGGGAGGCAGCAGUGGGGAAUAUUGCACAAUGGGCGGAAGCCUGAUGCAGCGACGCCGCGUGAGGGAUGACGGCCUUCGGGUUGUAAACCUCUUUCAGUAGGGAAGAAGCGAAA
Molecule: ribosomal RNA, 427 nt
Filed under: Micrococcus luteus
Lineage: Bacteria; Bacillati; Actinomycetota; Actinomycetes; Micrococcales; Micrococcaceae
Description: bacterial SSU rRNA
Rfam family: Bacterial small subunit ribosomal RNA
Source: RNAcentral